UGGGGACUCUUUCGGAUCUGGUUUAGGAUCUGGUUUAGGGUCUGGAGAGGUUUAUCCAUCCCCACCCGCUCUGGGGAAGGUUUGGGAUCUGGUUUGGGAUCUGCUGGGGUUUACCCAUCCCCACCCGCUCUGGGGAAGGUUUGGGAUCAGGUUUAGGAUCUGCUGGGGUUUCUCCAUCCCCACAGCUCUGGGUCCUUCCCUGGUGCCCAGGGGUGAAGGUGCCAACGCUCAGAGCCU
Molecule: long non-coding RNA, 237 nt
Filed under: Junco hyemalis (dark-eyed junco)
Lineage: Eukaryota; Metazoa; Chordata; Aves; Passeriformes; Passerellidae
Description: lncRNA (ENSJHYG00000003340.1)
Source: RNAcentral